AGAGUUUGAUCCUGGCUCAGAUUGAACGCUGGCGGCAGGCUUAACACAUGCAAGUCGAGCGGGGAAGUGUAGCUUGCUACCUAACCUAGCGGCGGACGGGUGAGUAAUGCUUAGGAAUCUGCCUAUUAGUGGGGGACAACAUUCCGAAAGGAAUGCUAAUACCGCAUACGUCCUACGGGAGAAAGCAGGGGAUCUUCGGACCUUGCGCUAAUAGAUGAGCCUAAGUCGGAUUAGCUAGUUGGUGGGGUAAAGGCCUACCAAGGCGACGAUCUGUAGCGGGUCUAAGAGGAUGAUCCGCCACACUGGGACUGAGACACGGCCCAGACUCCUACGGGAGGCAGCAGUGGGGAAUAUUGGACAAUGGGCGGAAGCCUGAUCCAGCCAUGCCGCGUGUGUGAAGAAGGCCUUAUGGUUGUAAAGCACUUUAAGCGAGGAGGAGGCUACUCUAGUUAAUACCUAGAGAUAGUGGACGUUACUCGCAGAAUAAGCACCGGCUAACUCUGUGCCAGCAGCCGCGGUAAUACAGAGGGUGCGAGCGUUAAUCGGAUUUACUGGGCGUAAAGCGUGCGUAGGCGGCUGAUUAAGUCGGAUGUGAAAUCCCUGAGCUUAACUUAGGAAUUGCAUUCGAUACUGGUCAGCUAGAGUAUGGGAGAGGAUGGUAGAAUUCCAGGUGUAGCGGUGAAAUGCGUAGAGAUCUGGAGGAAUACCGAUGGCGAACGCAGCCAUCUGGCCUAAUACUGACGCUGAUGUACGAAAGCAUGGGGAGCAAACAGGAUUAGAUACCCUGGUAGUCCAUGCCGUAAACGAUGUCUACUAGCCGUUGGGGCCUUUGAGGCUUUAGUGGCGCAGCUAACGCGAUAAGUAGACCGCCUGGGGAGUACGGUCGCAAGACUAAAACUCAAAUGAAUUGACGGGGGCCCGCACAAGCGGUGGAGCAUGUGGUUUAAUUCGAUGCACGCGAGA
RNAcentral lists this ribosomal RNA (963 nucleotides) under uncultured Gammaproteobacteria bacterium. RNAcentral's name for it is "bacterial SSU rRNA". It matches the Rfam family "Bacterial small subunit ribosomal RNA", at positions 8 to 966 of the family's 1533-position model. The record is from RNAcentral. Lineage: Bacteria; Pseudomonadati; Pseudomonadota; Gammaproteobacteria.